This is a small nucleolar RNA of Mastomys coucha (southern multimammate mouse), 146 nucleotides long. RefSeq annotates it as small nucleolar RNA SNORA48. The record is from RefSeq and is a predicted model, not a curated record. The transcript has a single exon. Lineage: Eukaryota; Metazoa; Chordata; Mammalia; Rodentia; Muridae.
ACUCCCAGCAAUGGGCAAAGAGAUACCUUGUUAUUGGUGGUGGUGUUCUUAUGUCAGUCAGGGACAGAGCAGAUGGCAGUCCUUUGUUCGUCCUAGCUUGAUGUCCGACUUGGUAGCCAAAGCUGUUUUAUGUCUAGGACUUAUAA